ACUCAAAGGAAUAGACGGGGGCCCGCACAAGCGGUGGAGCAUGUGGUUUAAUUCGAUGCUACGCGAAAAACCUUACCUAGGUUUGACAUCCCGCGCUAACCCAUGAAAGUGGGCGUUCUCUUCGGAGACGCGGAGACAGGUGCUGCAUGGCUGUCGUCAGCUCGUGUUGUGAGAUGUUGGGUUAAGUCCCGCAACGAGCGCAACCCUCGUCACUAGUUACCAGCAUUUAGUUGGGGACUCUAGUGAGACCGCUGGCCUAUAAGGCAGAGGAAGGUGGGGAUGACGUCAAGUCCUCAUGGCCUUUAUAUCUAGGGCAACACACGUGCUACAAUGGGAGGUACAGAACGCAGCUAGCUCGCAAGAGUAUGCUAAUCGUAAAAAACCUCCCUCAGUUCGGAUUGGAGUCUGCAACUCGACUCCAUGAAGCUGGAAUCGCUAGUAAUCGGGGAUCAGCACGCCCCGGUGAAUACGUUCCCGGGCCUUGUACACACCGCCCGU
Molecule: ribosomal RNA, 498 nt
Filed under: uncultured bacterium
Lineage: Bacteria
Description: partial 16S ribosomal RNA
Rfam family: Bacterial small subunit ribosomal RNA
Source: RNAcentral